UGGGGAAUAUUGGACAAUGGGCGCAAGCCUGAUCCAGCAAUGCCGCGUGUGUGAAGAAGGCCUGCGGGUUGUAAAGCACUUUCAGUGGGGAGGAAGGCCUCGGCGUUAAUAUCGUCGAGGAUUGACGUUACCUACAGAAGAAGCACCGGCUAACUCUGUGCCAGCAGCCGCGGUAAUACAGAGGGUGCAAGCGUUAAUCGGAAUUACUGGGCGUAAAGGGCGCGUAGGUGGUUAAUUAAGUCAGAUGUGAAAUCCCCGGGCUUAACCUGGGAAUUGCAUUUGAAACUACAAGACUAGAGUGCAGCAGAGGGGAGUGGAAUUCCAUGUGUAGCAGUGAAAUGCGUAGAGAUGUGGAAGAACACCGAUGGCGAAGGCAGCUCCCUGGGUUGACACUGACGCUCAUGCACGAAAGCGUGGGGAGCAAAC
RNAcentral lists this ribosomal RNA (426 nucleotides) under uncultured bacterium. RNAcentral's name for it is "bacterial SSU rRNA". It matches the Rfam family "Bacterial small subunit ribosomal RNA", at positions 355 to 773 of the family's 1533-position model. The record is from RNAcentral.